AGCAGCCGCGGUAAUUCCAGCUCCAAUAGCGUAUAUUAAAGUUGUUGCAGUUAAAAAGCUCGUAGUUGAAUUUCGGGACCAAGUCGUCGGUCGUGCUUAGGUACGUACUGGCGUCAUUGAUUUCUCCCUUCUGACGAACCAUGAUGUCAUUAAUUUGGUGUUAUGGGAAAUCAGGACUGUUACUUUGAAAAAAUUAGAGUGUUUAAAGCAGGCUCACGCUUGAAUACAUUAGCAUGGAAUAAUGAAAUAGGACGUUUGAUUCUAUUUUGUUGGUUUCUAGGAUCGACGUAAUGAUUAAUAGGGAUAGUUGGGGGCAUUAGUAUUCAAUUGUCAGAGGUGAAAUUCUUGGAUUUAUUGAAGACUAACUACUGCGAAAGCAUUUGUCAAGGAUGUUUUCAUUAAUCAAGAACGAAAGUUAGGGGAUCGAAGACGAUCAGAUACCGUCGUAGUCUUAACCAUAAACUAUGCCGACUAGGGAUCGGAUGAUGUUAAUUUUUAAUGUACUCAUUCGGCGCCUUAA
This 520-nucleotide ribosomal RNA is filed under the name uncultured Glomus. Its description in RNAcentral is "SSU rRNA". It matches the Rfam family "Eukaryotic small subunit ribosomal RNA", at positions 569 to 1091 of the family's 1831-position model. The record is from RNAcentral. Lineage: Eukaryota; Fungi; Glomeromycota; Glomeromycetes; Glomerales; Glomeraceae.